RNAcentral lists this ribosomal RNA (1229 nucleotides) under metagenome. Its description in RNAcentral is "bacterial LSU rRNA". It matches the Rfam family "Bacterial large subunit ribosomal RNA", at positions 1717 to 2925 of the family's 2925-position model. The record is from RNAcentral.
AAAAAUUACCCCCGUAACUUCGGGAGAAGGGGGGCCACAGACUGUCAUACCCCACGCGGGUGGCAGCAGUAGGUGGCCGCAGAGACCAGGGGGAAGCGACUGUUUACUAAAAACACAGGUCCGUGCGAAGUCGUAAGACGAUGUAUACGGACUGACGCCUGCCCGGUGCUGGAACGUUAAGGGGACCGGUUAGUCCGCAAGGGCGAAGCUGAGAACUUAAGCGCCAGUAAACGGCGGUGGUAACUAUAACCAUCCUAAGGUAGCGAAAUUCCUUGUCGGGUAAGUUCCGACCUGCACGAAUGGCGUAACGACUUCCCUACUGUCUCAACCACAGGCCCGGCGAAAUUGCACUACGAGUAAAGAUGCUCGUUACGCGCGGAAGGACGGAAAGACCCCGGGACCUUCACUAUAGCUUGACAUUGGUAUCCGAAUUUAAUUGUGUAGGAUAGGUGGGAGGCUUUGAUCCGCGGACGCCAGUCCGUCGGGGAGCCAACGUUGAAAUACCACUCUGUUGACUUUGGGUAUCUAACUUCGGACCGUGAUCCGGUUCAGGGACAGUGUCUGGUGGGUAGUUUAACUGGGGCGGUUGCCUCCUAAAAUGUAACGGAGGCGCCCAAAGGUUCCCUCAGCCUGGUUGGCAAUCAGGUGUUGAGUGCAAGUGCACAAGGGAGCUUGACUGUGAGACUGACAGGUCGAGCAGGGACGAAAGUCGGGACUAGUGAUCCGGCACCUGCGAGUGGAAGCGGUGUCGCUCAACGGAUAAAAGGUACCCCGGGGAUAACAGGCUGAUCUUCCCCAAGAGUCCAUAUCGACGGGAUGGUUUGGCACCUCGAUGUCGGCUCGUCGCAUCCUGGGGCUGGAGUAGGUCCCAAGGGUUGGGCUGUUCGCCCAUUGAAGCGGCACGCGAGCUGGGUUUAGAACGUCGUGAGGCAGUUCGGUCCCUAUCCUCCGCGCGCGUAGGAGACUUGAGAAGAGCUGUCCCUAGUACGAGAGGACCGGAACGGACGAACCUCUGGUGUGCCAGUUGUCAUGCCAAUGGCACGGCUGGUUAGCUACGUUCGGAAGGGAUAACCGCUGAAAGCAUCUAAGCGGGAAGCUCGCUUCAAGAUGAGGUCUCCCACCCCUUAGAGGGUUAAGGCCCCCAGCUAGACCACUGGGUUGAUAGGCCAGAAGUGUAAGCCUGGUAACAGGUUCAGCCGACUGGUACUAAUAGGCCGAGGACUUCACCG